CUACCAUGCAGUCGAGCGAGAUCUUCGGAUCUAGCGGCGGACGGGUGAGUAACGCGUGGGAACGUGCCCUUCUCUACGGAAUAGUCCCGGGAAACUGGGUUUAAUACCGUAUACGCCCUUCGGGGGAAAGAUUUAUCGGAGAAGGAUCGGCCCGCGUUGGAUUAGGUAGUUGGUGGGGUAAUGGCCUACCAAGCCGACGAUCCAUAGCUGGUUUGAGAGGAUGAUCAGCCACACUGGGACUGAGACACGGCCCAGACUCCUACGGGAGGCAGCAGUGGGGAAUCUUAGACAAUGGGCGCAAGCCUGAUCUAGCCAUGCCGCGUGAGUGACGAAGGCCCUAGGGUCGUAAAGCUCUUUCACCAGGGAUGAUAAUGACAGUACCUGGAGAAGAAACCCCGGCUAACUCCGUGCCAGCAGCCGCGGUAAUACGGAGGGGGUUAGCGUUGUUCGGAAUUACUGGGCGUAAAGCGCGCGUAGGCGGGCUGUUAAGUCGGGGGUGAAAUCCCGGGGCUCAACCCCGGAACUGCCCUCGAUACUGGCAGCCUAGAGUUCGAGAGAGG
RNAcentral lists this ribosomal RNA (560 nucleotides) under Roseicyclus sp. Its description in RNAcentral is "bacterial SSU rRNA". It matches the Rfam family "Bacterial small subunit ribosomal RNA", at positions 49 to 657 of the family's 1533-position model. Lineage: Bacteria; Pseudomonadati; Pseudomonadota; Alphaproteobacteria; Rhodobacterales; Roseobacteraceae. The record is from RNAcentral.